Molecule: long non-coding RNA, 1173 nt
Filed under: Marmota monax (woodchuck)
Lineage: Eukaryota; Metazoa; Chordata; Mammalia; Rodentia; Sciuridae
Source: RNAcentral
AGUGUCCCUGAGCCCUGCCACUGGCUGGGAUAAACCAUGCAGACCUCAGACCUGCUUACAGUCUGACUGAGGCCAAGACUGCUUCCCAUGACACUGACUCAAGCUCUGGGGUAUUUUUAUUGUGCGGUCAGGGGACAAGUCAUCCUAGAGUUCUGUGUCCUUCACUUUGCCUCUCUGCAACAGGGCCUUAUCAUCUGUCAUUUGGGUCUCCUGCCUCAGGCUGUACCUCCCCUCAAGCAUAGACUGAUGUGCUGUCCUAAAACCUUCAGUCCCAGGCAUUGUCCAGAAAGUGCCAUCCACACACAUACCCACUCACACUUAAGUUCUGUGUUUGCUGUCGUAACAACUCUAUCUUGUGGAUAAAGAAACUGUAUCCAACUGGAUGCCACUUGGCUAGAACCUUCUGCCUCAUGGAAACAAGCCUGGCCCAUCCUCUCAAGGCCAGGUUGACCCACAUGAACACUGGGAAGGCCAGAGCUCCAGGCUUCCAGGAAAGAUCCCCAGAAGGCACAGCGGCUGGUAAGGCCCACUUGGGAGUGUGCUGGCAACUUCUGCUCUGGUCCCGUUGACCCAGUUCAGCGACAUCCUGGUGGUAGCAGUUCCAGCAGCAGGCCUCCAAGGCUCCAAGCAGUAUGUGGGCUCUCAGCCAAUGGGAGAGCUGGCUUCCUGCCCCUUGCUGUGCAUCCUUUCCAUCUGGAAGCUUAUUCUCCUGUUUCCUGUUUUGGUAUCUGGAACAGGCCUGCAUGGCUGUUUUAAGAAGUUACUUUUCCCACUUCGGUAUGGCUGGGACCUAGGCAGGAACCCAAAGGAGGCUGGUGGCUACUAGGACACCACCUUUAACCCUGGCCUGGGGGGGUGUAAGGAUGCCGAGGUGGGCAAACUUUGGACCCCAACUCUAUGGCUAACAAGGUUCGGGGCAUCUUUCACAAGCACUCAAGGUCUCCUUGAGCUGGAGAUAAACACACAAAUUAAAACUUGUGAUGAACCAUGAUGUAACAGAAAGCUUAUUUCAGAUGGAUGUUCCUUUUCUUUCCCCUCUGCUGUAUCAACUCACAGAAGCUGCUAAGGCAGAAUUUAAAGAAAAUUGUUUUCAAGCCACCAGAGACCUGUUUGUACAACUCAAACGGUUGUAUUUAUUUAAUGUACCUCAAGGUGUUUUAAUAAUGAUCAGUG